Molecule: long non-coding RNA, 160 nt
Organism: Triticum dicoccoides
Lineage: Eukaryota; Viridiplantae; Streptophyta; Magnoliopsida; Poales; Poaceae
Exons: 3
Source: RefSeq, a predicted model, not a curated record
ACUGCAAAAAUGAUUCUCUUCUGAUCAAACAUCUACAAUUGGUAUAUGUCAAGAUGGGAUAGGAAAUACCCAAGAGCUUCUUGCUUUUCAUGAUGAGCCAAUGGAUGGUAGUGAUCUGUGCUAGCCUAAAAAGCCGGACAUGGGGACAUGCUCAGACAUG